Manacus vitellinus (golden-collared manakin) is the source of this 158-nucleotide long non-coding RNA. RefSeq lists it as uncharacterized. The transcript is spliced from 3 exons. NCBI's taxonomy places the organism in Eukaryota, Metazoa, Chordata, Aves, Passeriformes, Pipridae. The record is from RefSeq and is a predicted model, not a curated record.
AGGCAGUGCACUGACUUCUGACGUACAGUCCAAUGUGAUGGGGACCCUGCCUGUAAGAGGAGAUGUAGACAGCCUGACAGGGCCGAAGCCAACUCACAAUGAGGAGAUGGACACGGUGCCAUCCGGGUAACCUUUGGGAGCAGAUGAGCAUUGGAGGU